This 489-nucleotide ribosomal RNA is filed under the name uncultured bacterium. Its description in RNAcentral is "partial 16S ribosomal RNA". It matches the Rfam family "Bacterial small subunit ribosomal RNA", at positions 28 to 507 of the family's 1533-position model. The record is from RNAcentral.
GACGAACGCUGGCGGCGUGCUUAACACAUGCAAGUCGAACGGUGAAGGGAUCAGCUUGCUGGUUCUGGAUGAGUGGCGAACGGGUGAGUAACACGUGAGUAACCUGCCCCCUUCUUCUGGAUAACCGCAUGAAAGUGUGGCUAAUACGGGAUAUUCUGCGCCUGCUGCAUGGUGGGUGUGGGAAAGAUAUUGUUUCGGUGGGGGAUGGGCUCGCGGCCUAUCAGCUUGUUGGUGGGGUGAUGGCCUACCAAGGCGGUGACGGGUAGCCCGCCUGAGAGGGUCGACGCUGACAGUGGAACUGGGACACGGCCCAGGGUACUACGACAGGCAGCAGUGGGGAAUAUUGCACAGUGGGCGCGAGCCUGAUGCAGCGACGCCGCGUGAGGGAUGGAGGCCUUCGGGUUGUGAACCUCGUUCGCCAGUGAAGCAGGCCUGUCCCUUGUGGGUGGGUUGACGGUAGCUGGAUAAGAAGCGCCGGCUAACUACGUG